Molecule: long non-coding RNA, 402 nt
Organism: Lolium rigidum
Lineage: Eukaryota; Viridiplantae; Streptophyta; Magnoliopsida; Poales; Poaceae
Exons: 3
Source: RefSeq, a predicted model, not a curated record
AUCUUCACCCCCACCGGCAGUUGAGAAGGGAGGGAGCCAGUGAGAAAAUGAAGAUGUCUACAAGCUUGGUUCCUGGCUGAGACAAGGUGAUCAAUUAACUAAGACAUGCUCUGUGUUUGGUUGGAGUUAUGCCCCCCUCUCUUAUUUUGUGCAGCUUACAGGAAAAACUCUGCUCGAUUAGGUCAUCAGCUUGUAUCGAUGAAGCUCGCCACUCUCAACCCAAUGAUGGUGUACGAGCUUGGGCUAGACACUGGAAGCAUGUACGGACAGAUGUUUGACUGGUAACUAAUCAGGACUUGAUGGCAAUGAAGCAACAUAGUCAGUACAUCUCUCUCUCUCUCUCUCUCUCUCUCUCUGAUAGGAUCAUCUUGAAACCAACUAAGCAAUCAUCUAUGCCUGAAG